Long non-coding RNA from Dioscorea cayenensis subsp. rotundata (Guinea yam), 647 nucleotides. RefSeq lists it as uncharacterized. The record is from RefSeq and is a predicted model, not a curated record. The transcript has 2 exons. NCBI's taxonomy places the organism in Eukaryota, Viridiplantae, Streptophyta, Magnoliopsida, Dioscoreales, Dioscoreaceae.
UAAUUGAGGGUUUAUUAGAUGUUUAUUGAAAACAAGCCUCUUCAAAGAAUUCUUCUCCUUCUUCAAAUUAGCCCAUCUGUCUAUGGAGGCUUUUGGUGGCUGAAGAAAGCAGCAACUCAACAUUCUUUAUGGAAGUUCGGUGACUGAAGAAGAAAUCUCUCUUCUGGUAGCUCAUCAGCGAGUUUAGAGUAGCGCUACCGGACAUGCGUGUCUGUUUUGACUGUGGUUGAAGAUUUGGCUUCGGCUAUUGAUAUUCUAUUUAUUCUGACUUCACAGUCUAAGAUCCAGCCUUGAGUUGUUGAUUCUGAUUAUUGUCAGGCAGAUGUACACUUCUGGUUUCCACAUAUUUUUUGUAUUAUGAUUAUAUUCUGUAUUUCUAUCUGUUGUAUUAUUAUUUCUACAGUUAACUUGUAUUUUCUGUUAUUUUGUGAUCCUACUGGGCCCUUAUGGCUCAUGUACUCUGUCGUUUUUCUUUUUUUGGGUAACGAGUAAGCUUAGGAUCGGAGUGUGCUUGGGUUUGUUUGUUGUAGUUGUAAUCUUUUAAAUAACUGAACAUUGAGGUUGUAUACUUCGUAGUUUAUUGUCUAUUUGAGUGAGACUUGUAUCCUGGAUCAUUAUUGUUAAGUGUGGCAUAUUGUGUUUUUGUA